Molecule: long non-coding RNA, 878 nt
Filed under: Homo sapiens (human)
Lineage: Eukaryota; Metazoa; Chordata; Mammalia; Primates; Hominidae
Description: non-protein coding lnc-PTPN11-2:1
Source: RNAcentral
AAAAAAGUUCACAAUUUAAAAACAACAACACAAAACCAAAACAAAAGAAGCAAGAAGCUAAAGAAAAACAAAGAUAAGCUGAAUUAGAAGCUACUCAAUUAGCAAAGGAGAAAGAACUUAUAAUUAGACAACAAGUAUUACUGGCAAAGAAAGAAAAAGACAUCCAAAAAAAAAAACAUUACAAAGAAAUGAAAGAAAAAGAAAGAAAGGCAAAAACUUCGAAACUCAUCUAAGAUCUGGAAUCACUUUUCCAACAAUGAGGCAGGGUGGGUUAAAAUGAUGGAAGAAGAAGAAAUAAAUGAACAAAUUACGAAGGAGAAACAGGAAGGUGGGGCUCGUAUGUAAUAAGCAUCUAAGAAUGCAGAGAAAUAAACUGGCAGAGGUGGAAAUGGCAGCAACAACUGGUAAGAAGAUGAUCUGCAGCUACAAGUUAAAGCUAUGAAUCUCUUCCCUGCUGGUAUGAAUUCAAGAUGGGAAGUUGGUAAGUUAUUGCUAAUUACAUCAACAUACAUUCUUCUACUGAUGUCAAGACAACCACCAAAGGUGUUACUGGCAAAGCAAAGAGCCUCCAAAAAUUGGACCCUCAUCAAAAAGAUGACAAACAAAAAAGGCUUUUGAUAAACUUUAAAAAGAACAUUGCCUCAAGCAGACAAUGAAACACCUUCAGAAUGAUUUUACAGUCCAUGCACCCACUUCACCCCUUGGAGAACGAACAGAAGCUUUUUGAACAAGCUUUGAAAACACACCCAGUCAACACACCUGAAAGAUGAGAGAAAACAGCACAAACUGCCAGUACCUGGCAGGACAAAGAAAGGCUGCAUGAAAAGAUGCAAGGAACUUGCCAAGAUGGUAAAAGCAAAGAAAGCUGCUCAAGAGCA